Molecule: ribosomal RNA, 463 nt
Filed under: uncultured bacterium
Lineage: Bacteria
Description: bacterial SSU rRNA
Rfam family: Bacterial small subunit ribosomal RNA
Source: RNAcentral
GGGCCCGCACAAGCGGUGGAGUAUGUGGUUUAAUUCGACGCAACGCGAAGAACCUUACCGGGGCUUGACAUGCACAGGACAGGUGUAGAGAUACACCCUCCCUUCGGGGCCUGUGCACAGGUGCUGCAUGGCUGUCGUCAGCUCGUGUCGUGAGAUGUUGGGUUAAGUCCCGCAACGAGCGCAACCCUUGUCCUUAGUUGCCAUCAUUCAGUUGGGCACUCUAAGGAGACUGCCGGUGAUAAACCGGAGGAAGGUGGGGAUGACGUCAAGUCCUCAUGGCCCUUACGUCCCGGGCUACACACGUACUACAAUGGCCGGUACAGAGGGUUGCAAUGUCGCGAGACGGAGCCAAUCCCAAAAAGCCGGUCUCAGUUGGGAUCGUAGUCUGCAACUCGACUACGUGAACGCGGAAUCGCUAGUAAUCGCGGAUCAGCACGCCGCGGUGAAUACGUUCCCGGGCCUU